UGUAGUUUGCUUCAGCUGUCAGUAGCUGAAGCUGGGGCUGAAGGCAGGACUGGGGGCCUCCCCUCUGUGACUGCGGCUGGAGCCAGAGCUAGAACCGGGACCCUUCACUCCUCUGCGCUGCAACUGGUGACUGGGUCUUCUUGGAGUCAAGUUGCUUGGGAAUGCAGCCCAAAGCUGGUGGUAAACUCCAUCUAAGGCUAAAUACUGGCACGAGACCGAUAGUCAACAAGUACCGUAAGGGAAAGUUGAAAAGAACUUUGAAGAGAGAGUUCAAGAGGGCGAGAUAGGAAGAGCA
Long non-coding RNA from Trachemys scripta elegans, 295 nucleotides. RefSeq lists it as uncharacterized. The record is from RefSeq and is a predicted model, not a curated record. The transcript is spliced from 3 exons. Lineage: Eukaryota; Metazoa; Chordata; Testudines; Emydidae.